This is a non-coding RNA of Salmo salar (Atlantic salmon), 635 nucleotides long. NCBI's taxonomy places the organism in Eukaryota, Metazoa, Chordata, Actinopteri, Salmoniformes, Salmonidae. The record is from RefSeq and is a predicted model, not a curated record.
UUUACCUAUGGAUUUUAUUACAAUCCUAACGAUAAGUACAUUCAACCUUUUGGCAGCUAUCUCGCUCCAUAGGGGCCUGCCUGCCGAGUCCAACUGACACAGCGACCGUUACAAUUCAAAAAAACUACAUCUGACGAAGGAGAAGAGCGGUCAUUAUCAAACGCUUUCUCAUGGAAAAUUGCAUAUGAUUUAAUUACAUAUUCAUAACAUUGAUUUUUAAAUAUAUUUCCACCUGGGGUGACAGAGGAAGAAAAUAAAUUGUUCAGAACUGCUUGCAAGCAAGAGCUUUCAUCGAGCUGGCAACGUUGUAGCACCCAAAGGUUCAGUGAAAUUGACGUUAAUGUUAGCUAAAACAGCUAACGUUAGCUUUAGCUUGCCAGUUGCCACCAACUACCACCGACUGACCGAGAUGAUCCAGAGAUUCCUCAUAAGAGUUCUUGAGUUUGAAGAGUUCAGUGCUGAGAGAUCUGGCCUCUUUCUGGGAACUCUCCAGCUCAGUCUGAGCCUCUUCAAACUUCUGCUUCCACUCAGCCAGGACCUGUAAACUCAGCAUACAGGAUCCUGUUGGGGAAGCCCUUUCUACAGAUCCUGAUGCCUUCCAGCACACCGUUACAGCGCAGCUGGUGCAUGACCAG